Molecule: ribosomal RNA, 790 nt
Filed under: Amnibacterium sp. 12e-CH10
Lineage: Bacteria; Bacillati; Actinomycetota; Actinomycetes; Micrococcales; Microbacteriaceae
Description: SSU rRNA
Rfam family: Bacterial small subunit ribosomal RNA
Source: RNAcentral
UGGGCGUAAGAGCUCGUAGGCGGUUUGUCGCGUCUGCUGUGAAAACGCGAGGUNNAACCUCGCGCCUGCAGUGGGUACGGGCAGACUAGAGUGUGGUAGGGGAGAUUGGAAUUCCUGGUGUAGCGGUGGAAUGCGCAGAUAUCAGGAGGAACACCGAUGGCGAAGGCAGAUCUCUGGGCCAUUACUGACGCUGAGGAGCGAAAGCGUGGGGAGCGAACAGGAUUAGAUACCCUGGUAGUCCACGCCGUAAACGUUGGGAACUAGAUGUGGGGUCCAUUCCACGGAUUCCGUGUCGCAGCUAACGCAUUAAGUUCCCCGCCUGGGGAGUACGGCCGCAAGGCUAAAACUCAAAGGAAUUGACGGGGGCCCGCACAAGCGGCGGAGCAUGCGGAUUAAUUCGAUGCAACGCGAAGAACCUUACCAAGGCUUGACAUGCACCUGAAAAGGCUGGAAACAGUCUCCUCGCAAGACAGGUGCACAGGUGGUGCAUGGUUGUCGUCAGCUCGUGUCGUGAGAUGUUGGGUUAAGUCCCGCAACGAGCGCAACCCUCGUUCUAUGUUGCCAGCGCGUUAUGGCGGGAACUCAUAGGAGACUGCCGGGGUCAACUCGGAGGAAGGUGGGGAUGACGUCAAAUCAUCAUGCCCCUUAUGUCUUGGGCUUCACGCAUGCUACAAUGGCCGGUACAAAGGGCUGCAAUACCGUAAGGUGGAGCGAAUCCCAAAAAGCCGGUCUCAGUUCGGAUUGAGGUCUGCAACUCGACCUCAUGAAGUCGGAGUCGCUAGUAAUCGCA